Non-coding RNA from Labrus bergylta (ballan wrasse), 322 nucleotides. NCBI's taxonomy places the organism in Eukaryota, Metazoa, Chordata, Actinopteri, Labriformes, Labridae. The record is from RefSeq and is a predicted model, not a curated record.
UUUUCUUUGUGGUUUUGCCAGUUCAACCUUGUUACUGAACCUUGUCGCUGUGCUUUGAUGUGGUCUUGUGUAAAUUUUACUUUUGGAGUUAUUGCACUGGAAUUCUGGACCGGCCGACCAACCGAUCUGCCUGUUUCUUGUUACCAGUUGGCCUGCAGGCUUAUCUACAUGAAACUACCAGAGUGACACCAGAGCCCAAGGAGUAAGACCAAAACACAUCCAGGAGAGAAGCGGGAGAUGAGAAGAAAGAGAGAUCGCAUUCGAAGAAAUAUCUCCUGGAACCUGGCGCAGCUGUUGCUCAGUUGGUAGAGUCGUUGUCUCU